AGAAGGUGCACUGAGGAGCAGCCAGAGGGGCAGGAGAAAUCACCAAUUUGUUUCUCAGGCUAAAAGAGACGCCAUGAAAGAGAACUUCUGGUGAAACUUCAAGGACUUAAUGAGACUUCAAGGACAUUGAUACAAGCUAUUUGUAACUCAGAAAUUCUACCUGGAUCCUAGGCCCUUGACAGUCCUUAGAGAAGAGUCGAUUGAAUAAGAAGAGAAGAAAUCCUUAUUUUUCAGCCCAAGACACUAAGCGGGAUUAAGCCUAUGUCAUUUGCUCUUCAAAGUCUGGGUUUUCUUUCAGAAACACACUGGACAUUAUAUGGGAAUAACACUUAGAGACUGGGCUGUGGAGAAGACCAAAGAGUCUGCUACAAUAUAUUAGCAAAUAAAUUCUCUUACUUCUAACAUA
This 406-nucleotide long non-coding RNA is filed under the name Homo sapiens (human). Its description in RNAcentral is "HSALNT0175549". Lineage: Eukaryota; Metazoa; Chordata; Mammalia; Primates; Hominidae. The record is from RNAcentral.